GUGCCCGCUUCAGCAGCACGUAUACUAGAAUUGGAACGAUGCGGAGAAGAUUAGCGUGGCCCCUGUGCAAGGAUGACUCGCAAAUUCGUGAGCGUUCCAUAUUUUU
This is a small nuclear RNA of Lagenorhynchus albirostris (white-beaked dolphin), 106 nucleotides long. The record is from RefSeq and is a predicted model, not a curated record. Lineage: Eukaryota; Metazoa; Chordata; Mammalia; Artiodactyla; Delphinidae.